Molecule: ribosomal RNA, 502 nt
Filed under: uncultured bacterium
Lineage: Bacteria
Description: bacterial SSU rRNA
Rfam family: Bacterial small subunit ribosomal RNA
Source: RNAcentral
AGUGGGGAAUAUUGGGCAAUGGGCGCAAGCCUGACCCAGCAACGCCGCGUGAAGGAUGAAGGUUUUCGGAUCGUAAACUUCUUUGAUCGGGGACGAAAUUGACGGUACCCGAGGAACAAGCCACGGCUAACUACGUGCCAGCAGCCGCGGUAAUACGUAGGUGGCAAGCGUUAUCCGGAAUUACUGGGCGUAAAGGGCGUGUAGGCGGGAAGACAAGUCGGGAGUGAAAUCCCAGGGCUUAACCCUGGAGCUGCUUCCGAAACUGUCUUUCUUGAGUGUCGGAGAGGAAAGUGGAAUUCCCAGUGUAGCGGUGAAAUGCGUAGAGAUUGGGAGGAACACCAGUGGCGAAGGCGACUUUCUGGACGAUAACUGACGCUGAGGCGCGAAAGCGUGGGGAGCAAACAGGAUUAGAUACCCUGGUAGUCCACGCGGUAAACGAUGGAUACUAGGUGUAAGGGGUAUCGACCCCCCUUGUGCCGCAGUUAACACAAUAAGUAUCCCG